GGACAACCUACCCUUGGGUCCGGCAUAAUCCUGGGAAACUGGGAAUAAUUCCGGAUAGGUCACCGAUGCUGGAAUGCGCGGUGGCCGAAAGCUCCGGCGCCCGAGGAUGGGUCUGCGGCCUAUCAGGGUUGUAGUGGGUGUAACGUACCUACUAGCCUACGACGGGUACGGGUUGUGAGAGCAAGAGCCCGGAGAUGGAUUCUGAGACACGAAUCCAGGCCCUACGGGGUGCAGCAGGCGCGAAAACUUUACAAUGCGGGAAACCGUGAUAAGGGGAUCUCGAGUGCCAGCAUAUAAUGUUGGCUGUCCAGAUGCCUAAAAAGCAUCUGUUAGCAAGGGCCGGGCAAGACCGGUGCCAGCCGCCGCGGUAACACCGGCGGCCCGAGUGGUAACCGCUAUUAUUGGGUCUAAAGGGUCUGUAGCCGGCCAGGUAAGUCCCUUGGGAAAUCUGGCAGCUCAACUGUCAGGCUGCUAGGGGAUACUGUUUGGCUUGGGACCGGGAGAGGUGAGAGGUACCUUGGGGGUAGGGGUGAAAUCUUGUGAUCCUCGAGGGACCACCAGUGGCGAAGGCGUCUCACCAGAACGGGUCCGACGGUAAGGGACGAAGCCCU
This 611-nucleotide ribosomal RNA is filed under the name Methanosaeta sp. enrichment culture clone SA2-76. Its description in RNAcentral is "bacterial SSU rRNA". It matches the Rfam family "Archaeal small subunit ribosomal RNA", at positions 102 to 713 of the family's 1478-position model. Lineage: Archaea; Methanobacteriati; Methanobacteriota; Methanomicrobia; Methanotrichales; Methanotrichaceae. The record is from RNAcentral.